AGUGAGAAUUUGACGUUAAGUUGCUGCUUCAUUUAGGGAUACCGCUAAGCGGAAAAAAAACUCAACGCUUUUAUUUAGUUAUGCCAGAAAGAGAAGACAGCAGUCGGGUCAACUGGCGAUUCUCCCUCGCAGUGGCCACUUUAUGAUAAAAUGAGAGCCAUACUGUUGCCGUACGUCAGCUACAACGCCGAGAGCUUAGUGGAGGAAAGUUUUCAAAGUUCUACUAACUCUGAACCACUCCAAAUUUCGGUGGAAACGGCUGCGUUUUCUACAUUCGUUGCUGCAUCUCCA
Bactrocera neohumeralis is the source of this 291-nucleotide long non-coding RNA. RefSeq lists it as uncharacterized. The transcript is spliced from 3 exons. The record is from RefSeq and is a predicted model, not a curated record. Lineage: Eukaryota; Metazoa; Arthropoda; Insecta; Diptera; Tephritidae.